Molecule: unclassified non-coding RNA, 375 nt
Filed under: Yarrowia lipolytica
Lineage: Eukaryota; Fungi; Ascomycota; Dipodascomycetes; Dipodascales
Source: RNAcentral
ACACAAAUAUAUCACAAACUAGGCCUCUUCCAAACAUCGCAACCGAUAUUAGACUUCAGUCGAUGUCGUCACCACCCAAAGUUCGCAGCCACAAACAGUGCCCCUCGUUGCUAAUCUUAUCAGAUAAAGCUAUCGGUCGGGCCGUAUCUCACGCAAUAGUCUUGAGCCGCGAGAUGGAAGGCACUUGGCGCCCUUUCCGGGAUCUUCCGGAAGAAUGAUUAUCUUUUCUGCUGGUGUUUGGAGUGUCCACUGGCCUCCAGAUAUCUUCAGCACCCGUAGCUGUGUAACUAUUGUAUUACCACGAUCUCACGACGUACUGGAUUGUGGGAUUGUGUGUUCACACUGUUUUUAUCUCCCGGUGCUGAUUAAUGACAU